This is a long non-coding RNA of Cydia fagiglandana, 103 nucleotides long. RefSeq lists it as uncharacterized. The record is from RefSeq and is a predicted model, not a curated record. NCBI's taxonomy places the organism in Eukaryota, Metazoa, Arthropoda, Insecta, Lepidoptera, Tortricidae. The transcript is spliced from 3 exons.
CAAACCACAACUUUUGACAAGUUCGAAAAACGCAAAGACUAUGCGAGAAGCAAAAAAUCUUGCACUGUCGGCCAAAAAACUUUUCGCCAAAACUAAAAAAAAG